RNAcentral lists this ribosomal RNA (586 nucleotides) under Ischnobaenella hainana. RNAcentral describes it as "12S ribosomal RNA". Lineage: Eukaryota; Metazoa; Arthropoda; Insecta; Hemiptera; Reduviidae. The record is from RNAcentral.
CGCGGUUAUACAAUUAGGGUGGGUUAAUUUUUUUUGAGUUAUAUUUAAGUUUGUUUUUAAUUUUUAAAAUUAAAAUUUUUAGGUGGAAUUAAUUUUUUUAAUCAUUAAUUUUAUUUGAUUGAAUAUGAAGAUUUUUAUUAAAACUAGGAUUAGAUACCCUAUUAUUAUAAAUUGUUAAUUUUACUCUUAACACUAUUAGUUAUGUUCUUUAAAUUAAAAGAAUUUGGCGGUAAUUUAGUCUUUUCAGAGGAACCUGUCCUAUAAUUGAUAUCCCACGAUAAAUUUUACCUUUUUAUGCUUAUAUAUCUCUGUUAUUGGAUUUCUUAGUAGAGAUCUUCUAUGAUUUAUAGGUAAAUUUAAAUCAGGUCAAGGUGUAGUUAUAUAAAGGAAAGAGAUGGGUUACAAUAUAAUAUAUAUUUGAAUAUAAAUAUGGAAUAUUUUAUUGAAAUUGGAUUUGAUAGUAAUUUUUAUUAUAUUAUAAUUUUGAUUUUAGCUCUAAAUUAUGUACAUAUCGCCCGUCACUCUCGUUAUUAAAAUGAGAUAAGUCGUAACAAAGUAAAUCAACCGGAAGGUUGAUUUGGAAUGA